RNAcentral lists this ribosomal RNA (221 nucleotides) under uncultured bacterium. RNAcentral describes it as "partial 16S ribosomal RNA". It matches the Rfam family "Bacterial small subunit ribosomal RNA", at positions 113 to 334 of the family's 1533-position model. The record is from RNAcentral.
CGACGUGGGUAACCUGCCUCAUACAGGGGGAUAACAGUUAGAAAUGACUGCUAAUACCGCAUAAGCGCACAGUGCUGCAUGGCACAGUGUGAAAAACUCCGGUGGUAUGAGAUGGACUCGCGUCUGAUUAGCUAGUUGGUGGGGUAACGGCCUACCAAGGCGACGAUCAGUAGCCGGCCUGAGAGGGUGAACGGCCACAUUGGGACUGAGACACGGCCCAG